RNAcentral lists this ribosomal RNA (497 nucleotides) under uncultured bacterium. Its description in RNAcentral is "bacterial SSU rRNA". It matches the Rfam family "Bacterial small subunit ribosomal RNA", at positions 28 to 521 of the family's 1533-position model. The record is from RNAcentral.
GAUGAACGCUAGCGGCAGGCUUAAUACAUGCAAGUCGAGGGGCAGCACGGUUAGCAAUAACUGGUGGCGACCGGCGCACGGGUGCGUAACACGUAUACAAUCUACCUUAAACAGGGGGAUAGCCUUUCGAAAGAGAGAUUAAUACCCCGUAAUAAAUUGAACGGCAUCGUUUGAUUUUGAAAGCUCCGGCGGUUUGAGAUGAGUAUGCGUCUGAUUAGCUAGUUGGUGAGGUAACGGCUCACCAAGGCGACGAUCAGUAGGGGAUCUGAGAGGACUAACCCCCACACUGGUACUGAGACACGGACCAGACUCCUACGGGAGGCAGCAGUAAGGAAUAUGGUCAAUGGAGGCAACUCUGAACCAGCCAUGCCGCGUGCAGGAUGACGGCCCUAUGGGUUGUAAACUGCUUUUAUACAAGAGAAAACCCUGGUACGUGUACCAGGUUGAUAGUAUUGUAAGAAUAAGCAUCGGCUAAACUUCGUGCCAGCAGCCGCGGU